Molecule: non-coding RNA, 7846 nt
Organism: Oryctolagus cuniculus (rabbit)
Lineage: Eukaryota; Metazoa; Chordata; Mammalia; Lagomorpha; Leporidae
Source: RefSeq, a predicted model, not a curated record
CGUCCACAGCCAAGGCGAGGGUGACGCAUGCCGUCAGUCCCUUCCAUGGUUAGCAAGUGCCCGUGCUUCCAGCAGCAAGAAUUACCACAGGCUCGGGAGCACCUGCUGUAGGCACAGCCAAGGCCCCGUAAGUGGGCAAAGAACCGGGCUGCGGAGAUGGCGGCGCGAAACCAAAUACGGGGAGCGAACUGGGAAACCAGGGCAAACGCGGGAUAGGCCCUCGGGGGUCGUCCGCCGGGGGAGGACGCGAGGACCCGCGGACGGGCUCCCAGCCCCACCCCGUCCCCCUCCAGCGGCGGACUCAACCUCCCAGCACCCAGCCAGUUCCCUAAAGCCGUCCCGCCCGUACUGGCAGGGAGCGCCGACACGCCCAUCCGUCCCGCGCAUGCGCGCGCCCCUCCCUCGCGUCCCGUUGCGUCCCGCCCCUCCGUGGGGCGGGACUUCCUCCCCACGCCCAGGAAACCGGAAGGGGUUGUUUUCCACCGGAAGAAGAGAAGAAUUGCGACGAAGAGUGGACGCCGCGGGCGGGAUGUGUUUGUGGCGUGGGGUGUGUGAGCCCCCGAGGGCAGAAGGCGCUUGUUUCUGGCCAUUCAGAGACCGUGGUUUGUGUGCAAGUGGAGCAGAUGCAAGACAGUGGUAGCAGGGUAUCCUCUGAAGUUUCUCAAGGUGAGUGUGUGGCCGUUGGCCUGGGAGAGGAAGAGUCAGGCAGUGCUUCCAAGAGGUGACUUUUGAGCUCUGUGGGCACUGGAUGGACAGGGGAGCGGAGGGCUGUUUGGGGUGCCUAGGAAUCAGGCCAGUCUACAAAUUGUAAAUGGCACAGAGGACAGCAUCAAAUACGUUAGCCUUCCUCCAGCGUGCUCGCCUUACUUCUGGACAGUGUUUCUUGGUGUUUUUUCUUCUCUCAUUUUCUCCUCUUCUCUUUAAUUAGAUGGUCGAUUAGCAUGUGGAAGGCAGUUAGAGGGUCGGAGUCUUUCUGGGUGGCAGAAUAAUGGAGUUUUAACCAAGAAGUGACAGAUUCGCUCAGUAAAUCCAUCUUGGAAAGCUGUGCUCCUGCUGUGGGAAGCCUCAAGUUUGUUGACUUGGUUAUAUUCCUGUCUCCGGUCCAGACUAUUUGAAUUUACCCACAUUGAAUUUUUUUUUUUUUUUUUUUUUUUUUGACAGGCAGAGUGGACAGUGAGAGAGAGAGACAGAGAGAAAGGUCUUCCUUUGCCGUUGGUUCACCCUCCAAUGGCCGCCGCGGCUUGCGCGCUGCGGCCGGCGUACCGCACUGAUCUGAUGGCAGAAGCCAGGUGCUUCUCCUGGUCUCCCAUGGGGUGCAGGGCCCAAGGACUUGGGCCAUCCUCCACUGCCUUCCCGGGCCACAGCAGAGAGCUGGCCUGGAAGAGGGGCAACCGGGACAGAAUCCGGCGCCCCGACCAGGACUAGAACCCGGUGUGCCGGCGCCACAGGCGGAGGAUUAGCCUAGUGAGCCGUGGCGCCAGCCCCCCACAUUGAAUUUUAAGAAUGAGAAUGCUGCAAAGGGCAAGGUUAGUGUUCAAGUUAACACUACACAGUGUUGGCUAUGUCCAAGUGACUGCGCAGGUGUUGUCUGCACCUGCUACAAGCUGUUUGAUUCUCAUGGUUGAAAUACAUAAUAGGUUGAUUCCACCAGUAUUCGAAUAAGUGAAAACAGAAGAAAAACUGGAUUCUGUCGAAAUCUGGUAAAAUGAAGACAAAUUAGUGAAAAUGAAGACAAAUUAGUGAACCAGUGAGCAGGGCUUAAUUUUGGCGGGUGAUGAUGAUAGAGGAAACAAGCUGUAAAGCAGUUGGAGGUUCUUGACAAGAACCAGUGCCUGGCCUGUCACAGCUAAGAGGAAUCACUGACAGAGGUGCAGUGUGCCCAGGUCAAAGUCACACUCCUUGCAGAACUCUUAGUGAUGGAGAAGAUGCAAGCUGGCUGUAUUCUUCUUCCCAGAUGACAAACUCUUAGCUUGCAUUUAGAUUAAUUAACCAUCGUGUGUAGUGAAGUGAGCAUAUGGAAAGAGUUCCCAUCUCUUAAAGCUUGAGGUUAUAAAGGACCUUUUCUGUAGUAAUUUUUUAUUAUUAAGAUUUAUUUUAUUUGGGGCCGGCUCUGUGGCGCAGCAAGUUAAUGCCUGGCCUGGAUCGCCGGCAUCCCAUGUGGGUGCCGAUUCUAGUCCCAGCUGCUCCACUUCCGAUCCAGCUCUCUGCUGUGGCCUGGGAGAGCAGUAGAGGAUGGCUCACGUCCUUGGGCCCCUGCACCCACGUGGGAGACCUGGAGGAGGCUCCUGGCUCCUGGCUUCGGAUCGGCACAACUCUGGCCGUUGUGGCCAAUUGGAGAGUGAAUCAGUGAAUGGAAGACUUCUCUCUCUCUCUGCUUCUCCUCUCUCUGUGUAACUCUGACUUUCAAAUAAAUAAAAAAAGAAAAAGAAAAAGAUUUAUUUGAAAGAGUUACAGAGAGGGGUAUAGAGAGGUCUUCCAUUUGCUGGUUCACUCUCCAAAUGGCCACAGUGGCCAGAGCUGAGCCAUUCAAAAGCCAGAAGCCUGGAACUUCUUCAGGUCUCCCAUGUGGGUACAGGGGCCCAAGGACUUGGGACAUCCUCCACUGCUUUUCCAGGCACAUUAGUGGGGAGCUGGAUUGGAAGUGGAGCAGCCGGGACUUGAACCCACGGCUGUAUGGGAUACCAGUGCUGCAGGCUUGGUCUUUAACCCACUGUGCCACAGCGCCAGCCCUCUGUAGUAUCUUGAUGUGUUCAAGGACCAUGUUGUAAAAGCAAGACUUGGUCACAUUCUGGAGACUAAGAAAUGAGAGUCCUUGAAGUCAAGCCGACUCUGCCUUUAGCCUCCUAAAUGAAAAGGUAGAUAGAACAGGUCUUGUUCGCAAAGGAAGUUCAAGACCUACUUAUCUACCAACAGCAAGUAUGCACUUCCUAUUGUUUUACUACGUGGAAAACAGAAAGAGUGUAUUUAUAGGGGAGAGUUGUGGAGACUGGAGAAUUUGCUGCCAGCCUGCGGGAAGGUGACUGGAGACUGGAGGAGUGGUUUCUGUGGGCGUGUAAGACCCCUGCAAAAAGCGUAAUAGAACCAUAAUAAAUAAAAUAUAAGUUAGCUUUAAGUUAUAAUAGAAAAUGUUAUUAAUACUGUUAACAGUGAUAUCAAUAAGUGUGCUACAUUAGGCGAUUAGGCCAAGUAGUUAAGUUAGGUACCUUAGUAGGUAGAAUAAUAAAAGCCUUUCCCCUACUCAGUGCUGGUUCUGGGAAAUAGGGAAGUAAGCUGGUUCUCAGAGAAGCGGUUAGAUUUCACUCGGAGAUAUGGGCAACAGAACAACCUGUUAUGUACAUGGGCCCCCCUCCCCUGUGAAGAAACUGCGAGGCACGUAAGGCACGUAGCAGCCCGCUUCUCUUCCUCAUCGCCCCCCCUUGUCCAUGUACUUUGUCCAACUGUCAAGUUGUCCAAUGAACUUACGCCACCCAAGGCUAUGGUAAUCUUGUGGUUUUGCCCUUUAAAAGCUGUGUGAGAUGACUGUUCGGGGCUCUCUCUCUCUCUCGCCGCUUGCGGCAGCAGAGGGCCCAUUUGCGCAAAUGAAAUGAAACUGCCUCUUGCUUUUUGCAUCGCCUGGUCUGGAGUCUGUGUUUCUGGGGUCAUCACAAAAGGGCACCGCUUUUGGGGUCCUUCAUUUGGGAGCUCGUCCGGGAUUUGGGAGACCCCAGACUCCCACACUCCAUCGGCCUGACGGAGGUAAGUUUGCUUACUUGUGUAUUAUUGUAAUUGUGGUUUGUACUGUUUGUCCUUGUUUGCCAGGGCGACGUGAAUCCGUCCUGGGGCGCCUGUGCAGGCUCAGUAUUGGACCAGUGGGGGAGACAGACAUGUCCUGAGACCCCUGGUCCUACCCUGGAGGACGCUCCAGUGGUGGUCUGGGAAGAGGGGAAAGAGAGCAUUUCCCUUCUUCCAGGGGAGAGCCUGGCCAGACGGCCGCUCCCAUCUGAAAUUUUAGUUUCGGUUUUGUCUCGGUCUGUUGCCACGUGGCUUGUGAUUUCUGUUCUGUGUGUCGCUGUUUUUGUUAUUCUUUAUUUCUUUCUAUUUCCCCCAUCUGUUGUCAUGGGCCAACAAUUAACAACACCUUUGAGCCUGAUUCUAGGACACUGGAAGGAGGGUCGGGAACGUGCUUGCAACCUGUCGGUGGAGGUGCGGAAAAAGGAUUGGAUAACUUUCUGCACCUCUGCCUGGCCAGCGUUCGAUGUUGGCUGGCCCAGAGACGGGAUCUUUGACUUUGAUGUUAUCUUACAGGUGAAAAACCGCGUUUGCCAGGAGGGCACUGAAGGACAUCCAGACCAAGUGCCCUACAUCACGGUGUGGGAAGAUUUGACUCAGGAGCCUCCUCCUUGGGUCAGACCUUUCCUCACACGGAGGGGAACUGGAGGCAGGAGUAGGGUCGACAAGGAAACCCCUGGGGGUCCUAGGCCUCCUCCAUGCCCCUCCGCGAUACCUUUGACCCCUCCAUUAACAUCUUACCUUUACCCCCUAAAAGAAUCCCCGAAAACAAAACCUGAUGAUCCGCCGGUCCUCCCGGGGGGACAGGAAAAUCUUUUGCUGCUAGACCCUCCUCCUCCCUAUAACCGUCCCCAUCAACCACCCACUUUGGAAGGGGCAGAACCUUCCGCGCCCUCCCCAGAUUCCACGGGGCGGGAUGAGGAAGCGCCACGACCCUCGUCUGACCCACACUCAUCGCCGCCGAAUACCCGCUUGCGCCUUCGUCACGAACAGGGGGAGGCGGGAGAUUCCUGGACGUCCCAAGCCUUCCCGCUUCGCUCAGUGGCGGGGGAGGUUCAAUACUGGCCAUUUUCUGCCUCAGACCUUUACAAUUGGAAAGCUCAUAACCCUCCUUUCUCUAAAGACCCGCAGGCCCUGACUGGCCUGAUAGAGUCAAUUCUGUUAACCCACCAGCCCACUUGGGAUGACUGUCAGCAGCUUUUGCAGGCCCUCCUAACCACAGAAGAAAGGCAGAGGGUUUUCACAGAAGCCCGCAAAAAUGUGCCGGGAGAUAACGGCCGUCCCACUCAGCAGCCCAAUGAGAUCAAUGGAGCCUUCCCGCUGACUCGACCUGAUUGGGACUUCAAUACCGUGGCCGGUAGGGAGCGACUCCGUCUCUAUCGCCAGAUUCUCCUGAAAGGUCUCAGGGGGGCCGGAAGGCGCCCGACUAAUUUGGCAAAGGUACGUGCAAUUAUGCAAGGGAAUGAGGAAACUCUGGCAGGAUUUCUGGAGAGAUUAAUGGAAGGUUAUAGGAUGUAUACUCCCUUCGACCCACAAACCCCCAGACCGGCAAGCCGACGUGAUUAUGUCCUUCAUUGGACAAUUGGCGCCGGACAUCCGUACUAGGCUACAGAGGUUGGAGGGGUUGCAGGGGUAUACACUGCUGGACCUAGUUAAGGAGGCAGAAAAGAUUUUCAAUAAAAGAGAAACGAAAGAGGAAAGAGAAGAGAGGUUACACAGAGAACAGGAACGUAGGGAGGAUCAGAGAGAUAAAAAGAGAAACAAGGACUUAGUUAAGAUCCUGGCCACCGCAGUUACAGGAUCAGAGCAGGCUAAAUGUAGACAAGGUAGGGACUUGGGAGACAAACGGAAACCGCGGGUGGACCGAGACCAAUGCGCCUACUGCAAAGAAAAAGGACAUUGGAUCAAGGAUUGCCCAAACAAGGGUCAGCUGAAAGGCCAACGGAGAGCCGUUACAGUCUUAUCACUGGAAGACGACGAAUAGGUAGGUCGGGGCCAGGAGCCUCCCCCAGAGCCCUGGGUAACCCUGAAGGUGGGAGGCCGACCAGUCACCUUUCUGGUUGACACUGGAGCCCAGCAUUCAGUUCUUACCGUGGCUGAAGGCCCUCUCAGUUCCAAGACAUCAUGGGUCCAGGGGGCCACUGGAGGGAAACUGUACAAAUGUACUACUGAGCGUAAGGUCGACUUGGCAACGGGGCAGGUCACGCAUUCGUUCUUACUAGUGCCGGACUGCCCAUACCCCAUGCUGGGAAGGGAUCUGCUCUCAAAGGUUGGGGCCCAGAUCCAUUUCCAAGAUAAGGGAGCCACAGUAGUUGGCCCCGCAGGCCAACCCCUCCAUGUGUUGACCCUCCGACUGGAGGAUGAACACCGCCUUCAUGAAUGCCCCCUAACAGCCCAGCCUCAGGUAGCAUCUGAGUGGCUUGCUAAAUUUCCCCAGUCUUGGGCGGAGACGGGAGGAGUAGGGCUUGCUGUCUGACAGCCCCCAGUGAUAGUAAACCUGAAGCCCACGGCCACUCCCGUAUCCAUCCGCCAAUACCCUAUGGCCACGGAGGCAAAGGUUGGAAUUCGGCCGCACAUACAGAGACUAAUAAAACUGGGCAUAUUGAGACCUUGUCAGUCAUCUUGGAACACCCCUUUGUUACCAGUCAAAAAGCCUGGCUCCAAUGAUUACAGGCCAGUGCAAGACCUACGGGAAGUAAACUGUAGGGCUGAGGACAUUCACCCUACGGUUCCUAACCUGUACAACCUGCUAAGCACCCUGCCCCCGAUCCAAACUUGGUACACAGUGCUCGACUUGAAAGACGCUUUCUUUUGCCUAAGACUGAGUCCCCAGAGUCAACCUUUCUUUGCUUUCGAGUGGAAAGACCUGGAGACUGGGUUUUCGGGACAACUAACGUGGACCAGGCUUCCCCAAGGGCUCAAGAACUCCCCUACGCUGUUUGAUGAAGCCUUACACCAGGACUUGGCGGACUUUCGGGUAAGCCACCCAGAGUUGACUCUUCUGCAAUACGUGGAUGACCUGUUGUUAGCUGCAGAGACUGAGCAGGGUUGCAUCAAAGGUACGGAGGCCCUACUCCAUAGGCUGGGAGAGUUAGGAUACAGGGCCUCCGGGAAGAAGGCCCAACUUUGCACCCGACGUGUGACCUACCUGGGCUAUGUACUGGAGGGAGGUCGGAGGUGGCUGACUGAAGGGUGUAAAAGGGCCGUAGCGCUCAUUCCACCGCCUAAGAAUGCCCGCCACCUCAGGGAGUUCUUGGGCAGCGCUGGCUUCUGCCGCCUCUGGAUACCAGGCUUUGCAGAGAUGGCAGCAUCGCUGUACCCUCUCACGAGGACAAAUUCCCCAUUUGUAUGGGGAAAAGAACAACAGCUGGCAUUCCACAAGAUAAAACGGGCCCUCUUGGAGGCUCCUGCAUUGAGCCUCCCGGACCCUGCUAAACCUUUCACCCUUUAUGUGGAUGAAAAAGGGGGAAUGGCGAAGGGUGUUUUGACUCAAAAUUUAGGACCCUGGAAAAGACCUGUAGCGUACUUUUCAAAGAAACUGGACAGUGUCUCCUCGGGGUGGCCCCCUUGCCUCUGCAUGAUUGCGGCCGUGGCUGUUCUGGUGAAAGAUUCGGACAAACUGACUUUGGGACAGCCACUCACCAUAUGGCACCCCAUGCCAUCGAGGCUGUUAUCCGCCAACUGCCAGAUAGAUGGCUGUCGAACGCCAGGAUCGCCCACUACCAGGCCAUGUUGCUCAACCCUGAACGGAUCCGGUAUGGGACUGCUGCCUCGCUCAAUCAGGCUACCCUGCUCCCUGAGCUGGGGUCCGAGUCACAAGUCGAUCACGACUGUCAUCAAGUGUUAGCCGAAGUGCAGGGGACCCGAGGGGACCGACCUACCUGCCCCUGCCAGACGCGGAAUGCACCUGGUACACGGACAGGAGCAGCUUCCUACACCAAGGUGAGAGGAAGGUGGGGGCAGCUGUAGUGGACGGGGAGACUGUUAUCUGGGCCUCAGCUCUGCCCCCGGGGACUUCGGCACAGAAGGCUGAACUGGUGGCUCUCACCCAAGCGCUCCGGGUGGCUAAAAACAAAAA